AAGGUGGAUUUGUAAGUAAUUAUUUUUUAUAAUAUUAUUAAAUGAAUGGUGGAAUAACAUGUGUACAUAUUGCCCGUCGCUCUCGUUAUUAUUGAGAUAAGUCGUAACAUAGUUGAUGUACUGGAAAGUGUAUCUUUUUUA
Molecule: ribosomal RNA, 141 nt
Filed under: Cherokia georgiana ducilla
Lineage: Eukaryota; Metazoa; Arthropoda; Diplopoda; Polydesmida; Xystodesmidae
Description: partial small subunit ribosomal RNA
Source: RNAcentral